Myotis brandtii (Brandt's bat) is the source of this 618-nucleotide long non-coding RNA. RefSeq lists it as uncharacterized. The transcript has 3 exons. The record is from RefSeq and is a predicted model, not a curated record. Lineage: Eukaryota; Metazoa; Chordata; Mammalia; Chiroptera; Vespertilionidae.
CGGAGUUAGGGGGAAAGGUGGGAAGUGUGGGCCGGGCGAGUCGGGAGCGAGCUCUCUUCUGAUUGGCUGUCGGUCCCAACGAUGCCAGUCGCCCCUGCUGAUUGGCCAGACCCACCGCCCGCGAUCCACUUUCCUCUUGGACUCGGAAAUGCUCAGUCCGGCGGCGACCGGGGUCUGGUUCCUCAUUGGACACGCCUUCUCUUGUCCCGCCUCCGUGGUCAAGGCCGCCUCUGAUUGGCGAGCGGUCGGGCGCUACGCGGAGUCAGGUCAGGUCGCGUGGGCUCGGUUCGGCGGUCGCGGCGCGGGUCGGCACCAGGGACCCUCUGCCUCCGGGAGGAGUCCCUCUGAGCGUCCCGGGCUCCCUUCCCUGGCGGAAGUGCUGUGCCGGUUCCAAUUCCGACGCUGCCGGUUGGCGGGUUACGCUGGUCAUCAGGAGGAAAACAAGGACAGUGGGAAAAUGUGGCCUCUCCCAUCUUAGCCUAGAUGAAUCUUACCACCACGAAACGUGGGCCCUGACAUUGUUGUGUCUCCAGCAUCAUCUGUGAGUAUUGUUCCCCAAAAUCUUUAACUUCAACAUCAUAAAGCAGGAACUACAGGAUUGAAGGGGGAAAAAAAAAA